AAAUUUUAAAAAAUAAAAAAAUAAUUGUUUUAAUUUUUUUUCGAAUUAUACUAUUUUGAAAUUUAAACCCUAAACCCUAAAACUCAACUCUAAACCCUAAACCAUCAAUCCUAAACCUUUUUUUUUUUUUGAAAUACGAACCCUAAACCCAGAAACAUCAACUCUAAACCCUUAACCCCAAAACAUCAACUCUAAACCCUAAACCUUCAACUCUAAACCUUAAAUCAUCAACUCUAAACCCUAAACCCUAAACUUCAACUAUAAACCCCAAACCAUCAACACUGAACCCUAAACUAUCAACACUAAACCCUAAACCCUAAAAAGUAAACUCUAAACCCUAAACCCUAAAACAUUAACCCUAAACCCUAAAACAUUAACUCUAAACUCUAAACCCUAAACCUUUAAUUCUAAACCGUAAACCCCAAAUCCUAAACCCUAAAACUAGAGUUGAUGUUUAAGGGUUUAGAUUUGAAGGUUAAGAGUUUUAGGGUUUAGGGUUUACGUUUAGGGUUUAGGGUUUACAUUUAGGGUUUAGGGUUGAUGUUUUAGGGUUUAGAUUUUAAGGUUUAGGGUUUUAGGGUUUAGGGUUCGAAUUUCAGAAAAAUAUAGGGUUUAGGGUUUAGGGUUUACGUUUAGGGUUUAGAGUUGACGUUUUAGGGUUUAGAUCUGAAUGUUUAUGGUUUAGAGUUGAUGUUUCGGGGUUUAGGGUUUAGUGUUGAUGUUUCAUAGUUUAGGGUUUAGAGUUGAUGUUUCAUGGUUUAUGGUUUAGAGUUUAUGAUUUAGGGUUUAGAGUUGAUGUUUCAUGGUUUAUGGUUUAGAGUUUAUGAUUUAGGGUUUAGAGUUGAUGUUUCAUGGUUUAUGGUUUAGAGUUUAUGAUUUAGGGUUUAGAGUUGAUGUUUCAUGGUUUAUGGUUUAGAGUUUAUGAUUUAGGGUUUAGAGUUGAUGUUUCAUGGUUUAUGGUUUAGAGUUUAUGAUUUAGGGUUUAGAGUUGAUCUUUUAAAUUUAGAUUAGUUAACCUUAUGUUUUUUUUUGUCAAAGUUAAUCAAAAGGUUAUAAAUGGCUUUUACCUUUCAUUAAAGAUGAAGGUAAAACUGGUUAGUGUAAACAUGAAAAGUGGUACUUUGAAAAUAGUAUUUUUGGCAAUUUCCCUAAAAAGUAGUAGUAUGAAUGUGGUAUUUCUGGCAAGUUCCCAUAAAAUAAUAAGAUAAUUAAUUUUUCAAAAGCUUUUGUAAAUAUACAAUUUAGAUAUAAAUAGAAAUUAAUAAUAAAUAUAUAUCUGAGUUUAUAAAAAUACAAACAAAAUGUUAGAUGGUUUUUUCUUUAUUUACACUGAUAUUUAUUUUUUAUUUUUUCAAAUGUUUCAAUAUAUUCCUUAUAUUAUUAUUUUACAUCUACAAGUAUAUUAAUUACAUUUAAGGUAUAUAAUUUAUAUACACCAAUUAAUCAAAUAAAAAUAAAAUGAAAUUUGUAUUAGUAGGAUUUUAUCAAUAUAUACCGUAAAAUCAUUGCUUCUUCUUAUUACUACAUAAAUAUAUAUAUAAAUCUAAAAGAGUUAUGUGAUUUAAUAAUUAUAUGAAUUAAUAAAAUGUUAUAUUUUGAAUAUUGUUAAUUUAUAGAGUUUUUAAUGUUUGUAUAUGUCACAUGCAAAAUUUUCUUUUGUAAACUUUAUGCGCUGGAAAAUAAUUACAGAUGAUUAUUAACGAUGAUGCCACGUGAAUUAUUAGAGCAUCAUUAUUGAUAAGAGCACUUUAUGUAUUUCUCAAAAAAAAAAAACUGAUUAAAAGUUAAAAAUUAUUCAUAAAACGACAUGUGUCCUAAAUCUAUUUAUACGAUGACAUCCAUAGAAUAUAAUUGAGAAACAUUAUAACUUCUUUUUAUAGUCACAUGUCAUCAGUACGAUGAUUUUUAGAAUCAUUAGAAAAUAUGUUGGUUCAUCUAAUUAGAUAAUAAACUUUUUAUUAAACUAAUUAUAAAUUCAUUAUUAAUGUUAUUUAUUAUUAAUUUCCUUAAAUAAAAAUUACGGAAUUGUCUAAUGUGGCUAAAAUAUAUAUGUCAAUUAUUAAUUUUGAAUACUAAAUGUUUGAUAAAAAUUAGUGUAUCUAUUAUCAUAUUUGUUUAAUUUUAAACUAUUAAAAUUAAUUAAACAACCAUAGUAACCCUAUAAUAAAAAUUUUGAUUUUUCUGUAUAUGUUAUAUUUUGAAUUUUUAAAAACGACUAUAAAUUAAUUAAAAUGUUUAAAGUCUCAUAUUUAAAUUUUGUGAUCCAUGAUUUAAAAUUUUUGUUAUGAUAUAUAUAUAUAAAUCUUUUUAAAUAACCAUAUAAAAUACAUAAAUAUUUUAAUUUCGAAAUUUAUUUUGAACAAUUAUUUUUGAUAAAUGAUUUGAGCGAACAUUGACAACUUUUUUUUUAAAUUUUAAAUUACGAAAACUAUUAGUCUAACAAUGAAAAUUUUGUUAUUAGUAAGUUAAAAUUUUUGCUAUAAAAGAUACAAUGAUGAAAAAAACCAUAUGAAUAUAAAGGGUCAUCUAAUAGACAUUAAUAUUUAAAAUAUCUAUGUAUGUUAAUAUCAGUUAAAUUUAAUUACAUAUCUUAUCAAAUAGAAAAAAGUUAUUGUUUGGAUUAAUACUGACUUAUAAUUAUUCUAUACAUAUUUAUUAUUUCAUAACAUGUAAAAAAAUAUAAUACAUAAAAUAAUCCCAAUAUAUGAAAGAGAUUGAAAGAGGUUUUUUAAGCUGUCCACGUCGGAUUGGAAAUUCAGGCCAAUCAGGAAGUUUAAAAUCGUCAAGUCACUGAUGCUGAAUAAAUUGGGCUUCUGUGUAGAUUUUCUUUAAAUUUUCAUCUGGCCAACCCAAGCCCAUGCCGAGAAACCUGUUUCAUCUUCGAGUGUUGAGACCCCGACUCUUCCACUUCAUCUUAUCGUUCUCAUGAGAGAAACCCGGGCAUUCUUCAACUGAACUGUUCUUCCACUCUGAUUCUCAUUAAAUCCUCUUCUUUAUUCUUUCAAUCGAUAACAUGGAAGCGUUCUGACUUCUUCUGUUUCUUAGCUUAUAUAAACUCGUAUUAGAAUCUGUGCUACAUGCACAAACCAGAAAAAUUCUAAAACCACAUCAAGCAUUAGCAACCGUUUUCGCAAAAUCCACCGGGAGGCUUCAAUGGCUCAUUUUUUUAGCGACGUCUCAUUGGCUUAGCUGAAUCAGAUAUCCAUUUCCAUUUAGUACAUCUUUUGAAAUCAAGAAACAUAAAUACAUGGGAAGUUUAAUUGGGCUGGAGCUGCUUAUAAUUGUGAACAGGUAUGAAAAUAGUUACCGGACUUAAUUGUAUGUAUGAAACUCAUAUUUAAGUUAUUUUUAUUGCUAAUCUAAUAUGAGACUUCUCGUUCUGGUAUAUAGUGAUUGCAGUUUGUCAACGUGGAUUAAUUUGCCAUCCAAGAAGAUUCAAUAACGCUGCUUGGAAGUUGGAAUAUCCGUCGUAGAUUGCCUUUCCUCCUCUUCUGGUAUGUAUAUCCUGCAAUCCAAUUUCUCUAAAGAUGUUUGCUAUUUUUUUUAUUUGUUUUUUAAGUGCUUCUUUCUCUGUUGGAAUGUGGAAUAGAUGAAAAAGUUUCCAGCUUUAGGUCAUUUCGCUAAUGAUCGCAAAGAGAUCAAUGAAUUUGUACCUUCAGUUAAUAGAACUUUUCUUACAUUAUUAACAGAUCUAUUGUUGGUUAACAUUGCUAAAGGGCAAGCAGGAAGGUAUACGACUAUUUACCAGAAGCUCGCUCUGAAACACCCUUCCUUCAGAGGCAACACUGAUCUUAUCAUGGUAAUCUCUUUGCAGCCUAGGCUACCAUUCAUACCAGACGAUGUCAUUUGUCUUCUCUGCAUCCUCACUCCUUUACCAGCCUUCGGUGUCCUGUUUGACAACGAGGGAGUUAAAGACCCUGUGAUCCAGUCUCCCAUCGGACCUGAAGAAUAUUUAAAGAGAUUGCACCCUAUUGAUCUUGAGAAACUUCAGUUCGUUGGAGCGCCUUGGACAAUCACGACUUAUAUCGUUGAAGGAGGAACAACUUGGACAUACACAGUGAUAAAGAGUUUGUGCCACACUGCACCAUAUGUACUGAGAGCUCUAUUAUCUAAAAUAAAAUCAAAGUCAUCACAGAGUACAUUGUGUAACAAGUUGAGCACGUAGCUUACUGCAUACAAAUAUUUGAUUUAUGGGUGGACAGUUGACUCCCGAGAUGUGAGAGCAUUGGUCCAAACCCUACAUCAGAGAGGUAUAGUCUAAGUACUUUCCAUCUUGAGUACUUGAAAAGAUUCCCUUUUGGUGUUUUAACGUUUCCUUUUUCUAAUUUGGGCUUCCCAUAUCAUUCAUGCUGUAAAGAGAAGAUGUUCAGACACGCAUGUUGUUUUCUACAUAAAUGGAAACGGUGGCGUUCUUCAGCGGAUGUUAUUGGACUUGACUGGACUAAGAUAUGGCUGAUGGAAGGAGGCGAUUGUGGAGUGGUGUUAGAGUCCAGGGAAAUGUUGAUACAUCUAACCUAUUAUCUCUGCUUCCUGCUUUAACUGAAGAGAUGAUCUCACUCACAUUACCCUAAAGAGUGAAUUUACUCUCUCAAAUAAAAGGUUCAAUUAUAGUACUUAGGUAUCGAAUCCACAAGGAGCUAGGGAACCUAAUGAAUCUAAUAUGAUUUGUUAAGUAAGGUGGUUUUAAUGAUUUAAAUGAAAAGUUGCAGUUUUGUUUAACAAGUAAUUGCUCGAUUGAUUGGUUGAGGUUUUGGUGCUUAAAAGGAAAUAGCUAGACUUAGGGUUUUUAUUCAGGAAACUUGGGAUUAUAAUCCUACAGAUGCCUAAUGAGCUGCAUGCAUGAUAAUGUAAAGCUCAACUACUAAAUCAACAAGUCAAUCAGCUCUCGUAUGUCUGGACUCGUCUAUUAACUAGAUCUAAUGAGCCAAACAAAUGUGUUCGAUCAAUAGCAGUGUCGAUCGAUGAUCCUUUAGGGAUAUCGAUCGAUACACCUUUCACUCCGUCGAUCGAUUAUUCAGUAUUGAUAUUGAUCGACGCGCUUCUAGUUAAGCUUUAUGCGCGGGUUGAAUGAUGCUUACUAAGCUUACUAGAUCAGCUCUCGCCUUACUCUUAGCAAGAAACUUAGCUCAGUUAGAAUGGUUUCAGGAUGAAAAUGAAGCUAUCUCUUUUAUAUAGGGCAAGUUCUAGGUAGCUAAUCUAGAAUCAGACAUUAAUAACAAUCCUAAUGAUAAUUAUCUAAACUCAACAAUCUAUAGUUGUGGCUAAUCCCUCAUAACCUAAUUAAACCCUAAAUCUAACAAUGGAACUACUCAGACAUGGCCAAGCAAUUCAUGAAAGCAAUUAGGUAAGAAAACUUCAUUAGAAUAGUAAAUAGAUAUUAAUGGAGUUCCAAUAAAAAAAUUAUAACUUUGGAUCUUCUCUCCGAUCUAUCAAAAUCCUAAAAACCUUUGCUGACAAUAAUAAAACUAGAAACACAAGAAAGCACCCCCUUUACCUGUAACAUAGUAGCAAAGCUUAUAUAAUUAGGUUAAAACUCGUCAGGGGUAAUCUUGUAAAUUGGUGAAGACUUAGGCUUCAAGUCGGCUGUGGCCAAACGGGCCUUCUGCGCGCUUCGCUGUCGAUCGAUGUUCUGAUGUGAACAUCAAUCGAUAUUUUUUCCUAAAUAUCGACCGAUGGUCGAGCUCGAUGGUCAUUUCGGGUGCUUGCUCCAAAUAUCUCCAAAAUGCUCCAAAAUCAUCACUUAUCUCCAAAUCACUCCGGAUCUUAUAAAUAUAAUAAAUAGACUCUAUAAUAUAAUAAUUAGUAGUAAAAACACCUAUAAACCAUGAGUGAAAGUGGGUCAAAUCCAUGGUCUAUUAACUCCCCCAGACUUACCCUUUUGCUUGUCCUCAAGCAAAACAAACAGGCAGUCUCUCUGAAAGAGGUUUGAAAACAGCAGGGACUCACACAAUUUUAAACCUAGAAUCAUCACCUCUACAAUAUUGCAAUCCACAUCUAAGAAGUCCUAAUCACAAAAGCACAUUAUACCAUAUCCUAGCUUAGCAACCAAAUUCACCUAGCUGACAACUUAGAAAAUCUUGUCUGGCAUUCCCCUCUACCAACCUCAUUUCUUAGAAUAAAUAAAAGUGCAAGCUUUACCUUGGGAGUAUCGAUCACAGGAUGCAAGGAUUUUCAAACAAGUAUCUAGACCUUCAGGUAAACAUUAGUUCUUAUCCUCUCUUUCUACUAACUUUCUCUCUUAGUCAAAGUCUGCUUAUAUUUGCAAGAUCAUUGACCAAGAUUGGACAGGCUUCCAUGAAUCAAGAUUUAAUGGUGGUUGCCACCAAGUCAUGUUCACUUUUUUUUGACCUAUAUCCUAGGAUUAUUUGUGAAGUAAGCCUUAAUGGUUGUAGCCACCAAGUCCUGUUCUAAUCCUUUACCUAUAGAAUUCUUAUAAAGCAAGCCUUAGUGGUUGUAGCCACCAAGUCCUGCUCGAAUCCUUUACCUAUAGAAUUCUUAUGAAGCAAGCCUUGAUGGUUAUAGCCUCCAAGUCCUGUUUGAAUCCCUUCCUAAUAAAUCUCUAAUAGAUAUGUAUAUAUAUAAUAAUAAUUUUUUUUUUAAAUCUAUAUUUCGAAAAUAGAGAGAGAGAGAGAGAGAGAGGAUGAUAAAUCUAUAUACACAAGGCUUUACCUUCCAGACUUGUUUGAAGAAUCCGAUCCCAUGUAUAUCAAGCCCCAAGACAAGCAGUUGUGUCAGGUUUAGUGUUGGAGGUCAGAUUUGGUUCCUUUAAACAAUCUCAGCAAGUGUACCAUAGUUGACAGGUUGAUCCACUUUAGUAUCUUUAGUACUAUAUACAAUUAAUAAGUCUAGAAUGGUGCUAAAGAGUGGUUAGAUAACAAGCAAAAAUCUAAUAAGUUCAUUAUCCCCUUCUUGACUCAAUAAAAACUUUUUGUUUGAAAAUAUAUUUUAAUAAGACUCAUAAAUAAACUACUAUCAGUAAACCUCCCCCCAGACUUAAACUACACUGUCCCCAGUGUAAACUCAGUCGAAGUUAUGGUGAUAAAUAAAUCAUAAGUAUGUAAUGUAACAAGUUAGAACUAUAUACCAGACCGGAAUGUAUGUCGACCGAUGUUAGGAUGUUGAUAUCGGUCGCGACAGGUGAUGCUAUGUCGAUCGAUGUCGACAGUGUUUUGUCGGUCGAUACUGACGGCAAUCGUCUACUCGGAUCUCUUUUUUUUUUUUUUUUUUUUUUUUUUUUUAGACCUGCAAUAAUUAAAAACCAACAUAAAUAGUAGAUUCAUAAAAACUAAAUAAAUAUUACCUAAUAGUGGGUUGCCUCCCACUCAGAGCUUUGUUAUAGUCAUGUAGCUAGACUUUUGGAGGUGAUUUGGCUAGUAAUGUUGAAAGCUGUCACUUGUUGGGAAACAAGUCUCCAUUUCUUCUCUGCGCUUGUUGAACCAUGUACCAGUGAAGUCUCACAUUGCUUCAUCUCCUCUGCGCCAUUUGUCUUUCAUUAUUGUAGUUGCAUCUUCUAUCUUCUGCAGUCUAUCUCCAAAACUCUCCAGAUUGAACUGAUGUCUCAUAACUGUGGCGUAUGUGUCAGCUGAGAUCUCUUCUCCAUGGUUAUGUGUGUCAAACUUGUCUGAUGUCACCUUUUGUACUAGCCGGCCUCGGUUUGUAGCGUCGUCGACCGAUGUCUGGCGACGAAUGUCGGUCGAUAUGUUGUUGCUUCUGUCGAGUGAUGCGGAUGCUAAUGCUUCUGGUCGACAGGCAAUGUAACUCUGAAUCUCCACUAAUUCCCCUUGAAUAGCUUCUAUCUUGGAAGUCAAAGCACUAAUUCUAAGAUCCAUUUGGAAAUAGAUGUCAUCACAUCUCCUGUCAAGCCUCUCUUCUGUAGUUUCCAGAGCUCUGUAGAUCCCUUCUACCAACUGAUCUAUCUCUCCCCUGGUGUGAAAAUUUGGUUGAGACUUCAUCGUAUGUGAGUGUGGUGGGUUGUCGUCGACCGAUGCUGGUAAGCGGUUGUCGAUUGAUGCAUGUAAGCGACUAUCGACCGAUGCCUGUCGAUGUCUGUCGAUCGAUGUAGAGCGAGUCACGUCGGCCGCACGCUGAAUUCUGGCUAUGUUUUGCCUCAUCUCUUCCAUGCAAGUAGUUAGCCAACUGAUACUAUCAUGCAAUGGAUAGUAGACUCCAUCAAGCUUCAUCUGGAAGUCUUCUUUGUUCUUCUCUUGUUCUCCGCAGAUUCCACAGAACAUCUCAUUGAUCUCGUCCUUGGUGUAGAUCUCUGGUACUAGCUUGGUCUGUGUGAAUGAGCUAGCAUGUUCUGGAAGGCAUAUGUAGUUGGGUUCAUCUCUCGAAGCUCUUUCCAGAAGUCUUCUGAUAUCUUUGUUGAAAACGCGAAUGGUGUGUCCAUCUACGUCUCUGGCGUAUCCCUUAACAUCUCUGUAGAUUCCAUACUCAUCCUUCUCUUCCCAGUAGAAUUUUCUGGUUCCAAAAAGAUCAAAAGCUCUUCUUCCAAAUUCAGGACGUCUGUCGACCGAUGUUGAGGCGUCAACGUCGAUCGAUGGUUGAGUAGGAUGUCGAGACCUCUGUUUGAAGAUUUUAUCGAUGCCACCAGCUGUGUCAUAGAACUCCUUUGUAACCUUCUGCUGGUGUUCUCUAAUAGUCCAUUGUUGCAUGAAGAGGUUGUCUGCCCCAUUGGCUGUCUGAAGGAUGUCUACAAUAUCCUCUCGAGAUACGUGCAGUGUACGUCCAUCUAUUGCUUUUGCAUAGCCAUAUGGGUCCCUGAAAAUACCAAAUUCGUCUGGAAUUAGAUACUGGUUAUCAGAUUUAUAUUUUUUGCUUACAGUGGGUUUUGGUUUUGGACGGAUGUCGAUCGAUGUUGUAGGAUUGAUGUCGAUCGAUGGAGGAAUAGCUCUGUCGAUCGGAUGGUUGAAAUGUGAUCUUCCCCAAAUAGCUUCUGCUCGUUUCUGAUCUGUCUCAUCGUGUCUUUGCAUGUUGAGAAGUUCCUCAUAAGUGGAACCCUCAUGAAGUUCAUCAGCUCCUUGAUCACAAUAUGUUGUCUCUACUGCGUAGCUCUCGUGAUGGCGAUCAUCUGCCCAACUUCCAAUUGAGUAAUCUCUGUCUCGAGUAGCGUCGACUUAAGUGUUGAUCGAUGGGUAGUAGGCGAUGUCGGUCGAUGCUCGUUUUCGAUUUCUCUGAUGAGGUUGAGUGUCGAUCGAUGGCGAGCUUGUUCUGUCGAUCGAUGGUGCAUUAUUUUUCCAAAAGUAAUGAUGUAGAAGUUUAUCCUCCUAAUCAAGAAUGGCUUUGUACUCGGUAGCUCGUUCCUCCUCAUAGUCUUCAUCAUACUCCUCCGUAUGCAUGUUUGGUCUGGUGUAUGCUGCCAUAGUGGGGUUGUAGUAGUCGUUCUCCCAAUCUUCCGGACUACUGUCGAUCGAUUCUUCCUUUGGUGUGUCGGUCGAUUUCUGAUGGGCACUGUCGAUCGAUGUUGCAGUGUGAGUUUCGAUCAACGCCGAAUAUUCUAUCUCGUACUUAGCUCCGCAGUGGCAUGCUGCAAUGAUUCUUGGAUCAUUGAUUCUUCUGGGGGUCGUCUAUGUCUUCUUGACUAGAAUAGGGUUGUAGUGGGCAUGAGGAUCUAUGAGCGUUAGGCACAACUGGUUGGUUUGCAAGUUGCAAACUGCUCCCACUGUUGACAAGAAGGCUCUCCCAAGUAAUAGAAAAGAGUUCUGGAUUAGCUUGAUGUCCAAGACAUGGAAAUCUACUGGAACUAGGGCAUUACCAAUCUGCACCUCUAGGUCUCUCACAAUCCCUCCUGAGUUCCUCUAAGAACAAUCCACAAAAGUGAAUAAUUCCUUGGGAGGCUCUACCUGCAGACCUAGAUGGUCUGCCAUAAUCCUAGGUAGGACGCUGACUGAUGCUCCUGUGUCGCACCAGGCAUGUGAGAAUUCAAUACCCUUCACCGUGCAUGGUAUUGCAAAUUGCCCAUGAUCACUCUUCUUCUUCAAUGUAACCCUCUUCCUCAUCUGCUCUCUAGCUUUACAAAACAUUCUCCUAAUGUCGUCUUCUGUCUCUCUGGUUUCUCUGAAGAACAUCCACAAUCUGUGGGUAUAAUAAGCCUCAUCGAAUGGCUUUUCUAGAGGAAUCCUGAAGACUCUUUUUCGGAAACUUUCUUUUUCCUUUUCAUUAGCCCCCCCUCUUCAGAUGUUUCGCCACUUUUUCCUUUUUUUCCUUAGGGUUCUUCCCGUAGGAACCCUAUCAACCUCCAUAGAAUAUAUUCCAUCAUCUGAAGGUGUCCUGACGGCCUCUGGUUGGUUUUCUGAAGGUUUGGGUUUGGGCCUGAGUGCAUUAAGACGUGCAACAUCUAUCUUCGGCAUCUGCACUCGGUAUGUAAUAGGUGCUCGUCGAUCGAUGGGCGCUGGUGGUUGUCGAUCGAUGAUGGUUUCCUGAUGUCGAUCGAUGACGUUUUCCCGAUGUAGAUUGAUGACGGGCUCUUGAUGUCUAUCGAUUUUCAAGUAGACAGGACUGGGAGGAUGUGGGUGUUUUGCUGCGAACUCCUCGUGAGUCAUGAUCCUCCGUGGGUGUUGUCGAUCGAUGACCAGGAAAGGAUAUCAAUUGGUUUUGGGUGACUUCUGUCGACCGAUGUUCGUGGCUUGGCGUCAAUUGACACCAAUGCGAUCCACCGAAACUCAUCAGACUCUCUACUUCGAAAUCUCCUUCUUGCAGUUUCUCUUCUUUCACCACUUGCCAGAAAUCAUCCCCAAUGAUGGCAUUCACGUGGUGCUUCAUCACAUCGUCUUCUACCCCUAUGAGGCUCCCUGCUUCUUAACAGCUUUUCCUGUCUGAACAACCUGCAUCUCCAGCUUCUUCACAUGAGUGCUCAAAGUCUCAAACUUUGUGUUCAGGUUGGUGUUGAUGGAAUCAAUCUUCCCAUUGAAGUCCACUGUCAUGCGCUGCUGUCCCUCGAGAACUCCAUCAAGCAUUUCCUCAAUCUUGCUCUCUUGAGUUGGCGGUGGUGGCUUCUGGUAGUAGGAGCUUCCAUAACCCAUGUUGUUGCUGUAGUUGUUGCUGUAGGGUUUCUCGUGCUGCGAACUCUGGUUGAAAUUGUCCCUAUUUCCAUAGGAGUUUCUGUUUCUACCCUGGUUUCCAGACCAGAACCUUGGAAUCCAGUUCCACUGAUGAAGUUCACAUCUGCUUCCUCUGCUCUACCCUCUGUAUUUAAAGCCUCUGCAUCUUCAACCAAGCAGACCUACUUCCUGAGAAGCUUGUGAACACUGUCCAACUUUGCCUUCACCUCAUCCAUCUGAUCAGUCCCAAGGAUGGUGGCAGAUCUCUUCCUCUCAAAAUCAGUGUUCUUGGUGCUGCUGCUAGAUGCUAGAUUUUCAAUGACCUUCACUGCCUCCUCUGGAUUCUUGGUGUUGAAGUUCACAUUGCUGGAAGCAUCAAGAGCUAUCUGGUAUUGCACCGUGAUGCCUCUGUAGAAAGUACUGAGCAGUUGUACUUCAUUGAAUCCAUGGUGUGGACAGUCUCUCUGAUAAGACUUGAAUCUGAUCCAGGAGCUUCUGAAUGAUUGUGUAGGCUCAUGAGUGAAUGUAGCAAUCUUUCUCCUCAAGUCUUUAGCACGUGCUUCAUAGAAGAAGUUGCAUAAGAAUGCAUUCUUGAUGUCGCUCCAGGAUGUUAGGGAUCCUGGCGGUAGCUGCUUAAGCCAAUGCGAAGCAUCUCCAGCAAGUGAGUACUUGAAGAACUUGCAUAGGAGGUAGUCUUCAGAGACUCCCUCGACUUUAAUAGCAGAUAUCAGAUCUUCGAACCUCUCCAGAUGGUCCAUAGGAUGCUCGUGAGAUAACCCAUAGUAGGAUGUCUGUCCCACGAGUGUGUAGUACUGCGGCUUCAGCUCGAAAUCCCUCUGACUAGUUGGGGUUCGAAUGGCUGAUCUGUUGGUGUAGAACUGAUCUAGAUGGUUGUAGUCAGCCAACAUUCUGGGUCGAGCAGCCUCAUCAACAUGUAAAGUAGCUCCUGUAGCUUCAGACUCAGGGAUUGCAGCCCCCUGAGCAUCUAUCCUCUGACAUGUUGCAUUACGCAGAUGAUCUUCCUGGUCAUACAGGUCUCCUCUCUCAUCACGUACAAGAAUCAAAGUCGCAACCAUGUCUCGCGGUUCAGUAUCGAUCGAUGUCCGGACUGAAGUAUCGAUCGAUGUCGGAUGGAAGAUGUCGGUCGAUGGGAGAUGAGUGUCUUCGGUUGACGGUGGUGAGCGAGUAUCGAUCGACAUGACUAGUGGCUGGGUCGACGGUGGUUGACAAGAAUCGAGCGACAAACAAGCGUUGUUGUCGAUCGAUGAGGAGCGUGCUUCUUUGUGGAUUGAACGCUCCAAACUUGCAGGAUCUGGUGAGAAUAGCAGUUGAGUUUCCUUGUUGCUUCUAGUACUGCUAGGCAUGAACCUGAAAAUCCAAGAAAAAAUUUUAUGUUAGAAACUUAACAAAAUUAGAUCGAAUAGGCGAUCAAAGCUCCCCGGCAACGGCGCCAAAUUUGAUAUCACUCAAAUUACCCUAAAGAGUGAAUUUACUCUCUCAAAUAAGAGAUUCAAUUGCAGUACUUAGGAUUGAAUUCACAAGGAGCUAGGGAACCUAAUGAAUCUAAUAUGAUUUAUUAAGUAAGGUGGUUUUAAUGAUUUAAAUGGAAAGUUGCAGUUUUGUUGAGCAAGUAAUUGCUCGAUUGAUUGGUUGAGGUUUUGGUGCUUAAAAGGAAAUAGCUAGACUUAGGGGUUUUAUUCAGGAAACUUGGGAUUAUAAUCUUACAGAUGACUAAUGAUUUGCAUGCAUGAUAAUGUAAAGCUCAACUACUAAAUCAACAAGUCAAUCAGCUCUCGCAUGUCUGGACUCGUCUAUUAACUAGAUCUAAUGAGCCAAACAAAUGUGUUCGAUCAAUAGCAGUGUCGAUCGAUGAUCCUAUAGGGAUUUCUAUCGAUACACCUUUCACUCCGUCGAUCGAUUAUUCAGUAUUGAUAUCGAUCGACGCGCUUCUAGUUAAGCUUUAUGCGCGGGUUGAAUGAUGCUUACUAAGCUCACUAGAUCAGCUCUCGCCUUACUCUUAACAAGAAACUUAGCUCAGUUAGAAUGGUUCCAGGAUGAGAAUGAAGCUAUCGCUUUUAUCUAACAAUCCUAGGGCAAGUUCUAGGUAGCUAAUCUAGAAUCAGGCAUUAAUGACAAUCCUAAUGAUAAUUAUCACAACUCAGCAAUCUAUAGUUAGGGCUAAUCCCUCAUAACCUAUUUAAACCCUAAAUAUAACAAUGGAACUACUCAGACAUGGCUAAGCAAUUCAUGAAAGCAAUUAGGUAAGAAAACUUCAUUAGAAUAGUAAAUAUAUAUUAAUGGAGUUCCUAUCGCAAAUUAUAACUUUGGAUCUUCUCUCCAAUCUAUCAAAAUCCUAAAAAACUUUGUUGACAAUAAUAAAACUAGAAACACAAGAAAGCACCCCCUUUACCUCUAACAUGGUGGCAAAGCUUAUAUAAUUAGGUUAAAACUUGUCAGGGGUAAUCUUGUAAAUUGGUGAAGAUUUGGGCUUCAAGUCGGCUGUGACCAAACGGGCCUUCUGCGCGCUUCGCUGUCGAUCGAUGUUCUGAUGUGAACAUCGAUCGAUAUUUGUUCCUCAAUAUCGACCGAUGGUCGAGCUCGAUGGUCAUUUCGGGUGCUUACUCCAAAUAUCUCCAAAAUGCUCGAAAAUCAUCACUUAUCUCCAAAUCACUCCUGAUCUUAUAAAUAUAAUUAAUCGACUCUAUAAUAUAAUAAUUAGUAGUAAAAACACCUAUAAACCAUGAGUGAAAAUGGGUCAAAUCCGUGGUUUAUCAAGAGACUCAAAGGUGAGUAGUUUACUUUGUUGAGCUGAAGGUAAUAAUGCUUUAUAUUUAAUUCAAGAAACUGAAAAAAAAAAUGUCUUAUACGUAUUUAUGUGUCUUGCAGAAAAAGCUAGACAUAUAUGUUUUCCUUGGAGAUUUUAGUUUUAUGUACAGAUUGUAUUAUACAUUUUUUUUUUUUUUGGUAGCUCGUAUACUCCCAAACUUCAAAAACUUUUGCAAAUCGUCAAGAAAACGAUUUUGUCAAAGCAAAUCGUCUCGAAUAGGCAAACGACAAUCUAAAAUUCGUCUAAACGCUAGCAACAUAUCCAGACGAUCAUGAACAUAUUCUCAAAGACUAUACAUCAUUUCUUGUUGCAAUCAUGCGUACAGAAAACAUAUACCAAUAUCAAACUGAAACUCGACGAUUAGCCAAAGUAUUGAAGCCCUUUCCAGUUUUAGAAAGCCAGUUUCGUUUAAAAAUUUCUACGAGAAAUCUUCAUUCACCAAAGCAUUUCUUUCAGUUUCCGUUGUACCAAGUGAGCCACAGAAAAGCAUCGAAAACAUUUGUGACGAAGAAAACUCGAGAAUAGAUGUAGCAUCGUGCACAAAGAGACGCUUUCCUCCCGAUGGUGGCUAGAUCCACCUCUGGUCGACCAAUUCGUUCCAGAAACGAAUGUGUCAUGAGAAUCCUUUCAUAAAACCUAUGAAAAACGUUAUGUGACUAGAUCGUAAUGAAAUAAACUUCAGUAACACUCCAUGAGUAACUCCAAGCAACUUUCACCUAGGAUCAAAAUCACGGCAGAAACGUUUCUCGUGAAACCCACAGAAACAACGCUACUUUAACAUAUGUUUACAUAUCAUCGAUCUACAAACUUCGUAAAACCAGUCCCUGUUACUUACGCGAAAAAUCCUUCGUACAACCAGAUCAAGUCUUACGAAGAAACUUUCUAAAGUUAACAUAACAGGCUUUGUGAAGAACCAUGCGGCUCGUUGGCUUCUUCUUUUCUUUUCCCUCGGUCACAUCCGAGAAGGCAGUCGUCCCGCCACUGACUCCACAAUGGUUAUGUAGCAAACUUCUUGGGCUUCGUCUUCCUCAAGCAAAAAAGAUUCGAUUUUCAUAUGACUAUAGGUCACAUUGUACGAAAUAUUCGUCGUAUAACUGAAACCUAGAGCGGAGAAUCGUUUUCUACGACUAUCGGCCAUAUUAGCAUGGAUAACCCCGGCAAACUUGGCCUAUCAAUCUCAACAAGCUCUCUUUGGCCCUCGGUCAAUUACGCCUUCCACUAAAGGUCCAAACCAAUAUUUGCCAUCCCCUUUAAGGACGAUCGUAAACUAACAUGACCUUAAAUAUUAAUGUACCAUGGUCUAAUCCUUGACCUACAACAUCCUUGGCUAUCUGAGUGAACACAUCCCUCACGCCAAGCCAAACUAUUUGAGAAACCAUAGCUCCAUCACUUAACGGCUAAACAACAAUCUACGAUUUGUCUAAAAACGUCAUGUGACUACUAAGAGAAUAAUUAUCGUAUAGUCAAACAAGAACGUUUCUCAAACGCAGGGCUAAGACUAAACCCUUGCAACAUCGCAAAACAUCUUCAACCCCGCGAACAUUUCAAGCAAGAAACGCGGCAUACGAAAUAAUAACAAAUCUUCAGCCUCGCGAGACGUCACAGACGCCUGAAGAUUUGUUCUUCGACGAAAUUUCCUUCCUCGAUAAAAACACUUUCUUGGAAGACCAGACAGUCGUACGCACUAACAUCUUCUCAAAACAUAUCCUUCGCGAAGAUUCAAAAAGGUAUUUUUUACCAUUAAGUUUGUUGUUGAUCACAACGAAAUCUUAACGUCCUAAACAGACUUAGCCAUCUCGUGGAGAUGACUCUCGUACAUCCGACACAAGGAUAAUAGCGCUAUAAAAGAAACCCAAAAUUUUUGGUCAGCACUUCCAGGAGGCUUAAAAAUUGUCCUUGGAGAGAUGCUCGGUUCCAACCAUACAAGUCGUAUAAGCCGAGAACCUAUCGCGGACUUUAAAUCGGUAUGGAAUCAGGAUGAAACUGAAACGGGAUACGUAAGUCGAAUUAGUCAUCGCACCCUCUAAAACCAGGAGUAAACCUAGGUCUUGCCCUAAACCCAGCGCACUGGUCUCUAACAUCUCUAGGCAUAGUAUCAAAAACCUUGAUACGAGAUCCCAAAAUUUGUCUCUUUGCCAAUAUUCGAGCGUCUUCAGAAAUCCCGCAAUAUUUACACACUGCGGAAAACUCUCGAAACAGAUCACGGAUAUAGCAGUUCACACAGAGUUAGAUUACGAGAUGACAACUCGUAAUCUUCCUUCUACACCCAUAUAAAAUGCCAUCGGCAGCAACACGCCUGAUAACCGCUACAUAAAAACUAGACCAUAAAGGUCUCGCUGGAAAACAAGUCAUAAGAACCUUAACUCCAAGACGAACUACGAAAGGCUUGAUCCCUUCAACAAGGGUACGUAGGCAGCCGUCAUAAAGCGCAGCCCCAAUCUUAUCGCGUUCUACUCUUAGAAGAGCGAGAAGACCACUUACCACGAACCUUUUCGACCAUUAAUUCCGCCUAACUCACCUAACUUGCAAAGCCACUCGCUAAAACCUCACGCUAGAAGCUCAUGGUUCUAACGAGCUGGGGGGCUAACUGUCGGGGUCAAAAUCGGUCACGACGGAAUCAAUGUCUGAAAGUCCGUAAAAAUCGGCAUGAACAUUUUUACGAAAAAUAAAUCUUAGAAAAAUAUCUAUUUUUACGAAGAACCUUGCGGAGAAAACACAUUUACGAAAAAUCGGAGAAAGACGCGAACAAGGUUGUGGCAUAGCAACCAGCGCAAAAGCUGGUUGCUACGUAGCGACCGAGCUCUCACCAAAGCUCGGUCGCUACGUAGCAUGCUCGGUCGCUACGUAGCGUGCUCGGUCGCUACGUAGCGUGCUCGGUCGCUACGUAGCGUCCGAGCUCGAACCAAAGUUCGGUCGCUACAUAUCGACCGAGCGCUCGGUCGCUACGUAGCGACCAAGCUCCUCCAAAACGUCGAUACGACAUCAGUCCAUGCAUUCUCGUCUACCCUUCGAUGCUAUCUCCCGAAUACCGUAGCGAACCCAUCUCACGUUCCCCGCCAUUUCUAAGUUAUCAAUCAAACUUUACCGUACAAACCGCGGAAAGUUCAUUCUUUAUCGAAAGAAGCCGUAAUAAACGCUUCGAGUCGAAAGACGGCCCAAAGGGACCUAAGACACGACUCGAGGCCCAACUUACGAUUUCUUAACCAACAGCCCGUAAACCGCCCAUAAACCGCAUGUCGGUUUACGCUUGGUUCGCAAGGGAAGAUAAAUGUCAAGUUUCCGCGGAUAAAUACGAUAUUUUGAAGAUAAUUACGAAGAUCGGAAAAAAUGGAAUAUCUGCAUUUUUAUGCUAUGGCGGCUUAAGGGCAGAAGAGGAAAGGCGUAAACCGACCUUGGAGCCAGUAUAUAAGGGGUCCUAGGCGAGAGGCAUGGAGGGGACUUUUCAGAGCAAACUUAGCACUUAGAGCAAUUAGGCAACUUUCCGUUUUUGUUAUUUCGAGCUGCGACUCAACUAGGUUUUGCAGUCUUAGGUUGUUAGAACUAGGAAUCUCGCCGACAGCUCUCGUAGCCAAGGCUUAUACCUUGUUGUAACGCUCAUACGCGGAUUCGGAAUAAAACUCCUUUUGCUCUCUUUUACGAUUUCUUAUUUCUUUUGGUUUUUAAUCGCGUGUUCUGGUUGCUUGGCGUGUGGUUUAACAGAUAUCCGGGACCUCUGGGAAAUUAGGGUUUUCCUAACUUUCCUAAUUUAAACAAAAAUUGACAGUGCGAAUUUCGGUUCCCACAGACUUCUUAGAUGUGGAUUGCAAUAUUCCAGAGGUGAUGAUUCUAAGUUUUAAAUCAUGUGAGUCUCUGCUGUUUUCAAACCUGUUUCAGAGAGACUGCCCGUCUGUUUUGCUUGAGGACAAGCAAAUGGGUAAGUCUGGGAGAUUUGAUAUACCAUGGAUUUUACCCACUUUCAGACAUGGUAUGUAAGUGUUUUAAGAUAUAGUUUUUAUGUUUUGGAGUCUUUUUAGAGUAUUUACAGGUUCAGGUACGUUCUGGAGAAAUAUGGUGAUUUUAGAGCCUUUUGAGUGCAAAGAUGCACAGACGCGUCAGAUGUUCAGCUAUGGAUGGAGAUCUUUCCACCGUUAGAUUGAUCUCAUCUUUUUCCACAAUAUAUAUCUUUUAGUUAGCUUUCUAAUGCUUCCGGUUUGAGGUCAAUCAGCAUCCUAUAGCAAACGUUAUGCUCGUUUUACUGAAGAGUGGUCAGUCUGCCUCGCGAGAGGAGGAGAUGCAUGACUGUCGAUCGAUGAAACAGCAUUGCGAUCAAUCAACAGUGAUGCCAGAACGUGGGCCAAGCAUAUUUCAAGACCGAUUGAAGCUCAGAAGCCACACAAAGUUACCAAAGUAUCCAUGGACGACCGGAAACCCUAUUUAUGUAUUUCUAAGCCAUAGUUGACGGCAACAAGCUUUCUAUUAUCCUAUUCUAUUGUUUUCUCUUAGGUUGGGAGAGAAGAUCAAUUCUCCUUCAGAGAUUGAUUGGAACUCCAUUGGUUUUAUCAUUGAUUUCUUAUCUAUUAUAUUAUUCAGACUAUGAUUUGUGUUAUUGCUUUUAUGUCUGAGUAAUCAUCUUGUUAGGUUUAGGGAUUUCAUGAGCUUAAUGUCAAACUUAUAAUCAAUUAGGAUUGAUAGAUUAUCUAUAGAUCUCUACAUCAGGGUGAUUUGUAAUACUAAAAUCUGGAAUAGUAAGAAUAGCACGACAGUGUGACUAAUUGUUUGAACCUAGAAUCAUAGGAUAGUUGAGAGGCACGAAACUGCAAUCAAUUAACGGAAUCCGAACUAUUCUGGAUUAGAUACCUAGGCGCAUACGAGAGUUGCUCUAGGAAUCUAGUUGAACAUAUUCGAUUAGAUCGAUAACGCUUGCCUAAGGCAGCGUCGAUCGACGCUUAUACCAUAGAAUCGAUCGACGCUUAUACCAUAGCAUCGAUCGACGCUCAUACCAUAGCAUCGAUCGACGCUCAUAUCAUAGCAUCGAUCGACGCUUAUUCCUUGUUCGCAUGCAAGAGCUGGAACAAAGACUUAGUCAAUAGAUUAGACUCAGAAUGAGAGCUGGUUGUCUUUUACGUAAGACAUCGAGUUCUAGAAUUGAAUCUAUAAACCAUUAGCAUCCUUGAAUUGUAGUUUUGAAUCUCUUGAUUGAUAAAUCCCUAAGUCUAGCACUUUCAUCUUAUUGUUUACAAACCUCAAUCAAUCAACCGAACAACUGCCUUGUUCAACCCUGUUCUAUUUAUUUACUGCUUAUUAAAGUGUUUGCCUAGCUUAGCCUUGAUUUCUAUAGUUUAUUGUGUGCCCAUGCUCCCUGUGGAUUUGAUCCCUAAGUACUACAAUUGAACCUCUUAUUUGAAAGAGUAAAAUCACUCCUUAGGGUAAUUUGAGUGAUAUCAAGGCUACAAAGUCAAAGGAGAAGAAGACAAAGUCUUAAGGAUGAAGAACUCAAAACAAUGAUAUUGAUUACAUGCUUGUAUGUGGUGACUUGAUAUUCACCGGCAACAAUCCGAUUAUGUUUGAAGAGUUCAAGAUGGAGAUGACAAAGGAGUUCGAGAUGAGUGAUAUUGGAUUGAUGUCAUAAUACCUUGGCAUUGAAGUAAAGCAAGAAGAAAGUGGAAUCUUCAUUACUCAAGAAGGUUAUGCUAAGGAAGUGCUUAAGAAGUUCAAGAUGGAUUACUCAAAUUCAGUUUGCACACCAAUGGAAUGUGGAGUCAAAUUGUCAAAGGAAGAAGAAGGAGAGAGUGUGGAUCCAACACUAUUUAAGAGCCUUAUUGGAAGCUUACAUUAUCUAACGUGCACAAGGCCCGAUAUCCUACACGCGGUUGGAGUUGUGAUUCGAUACAUGUAGAAUCCAACAACAAAUCAUUUUAAGGCAACUAAGAGAAUCCUACGCUAUAUCAAAGGUAUGAGCAACUUUGGCUUGUAUUACUCUAUUUUUGACGAUGACAAGCUUGUUGGAUAUAGCGAUAGCGAUUGAGGUGGAGACGUAGAUGACCGGAAGAGCACAAGUGGCUUUAUAUUUUUCAUUGGAGAUACCGCUUUCAAAUGGAUGUCGAAGAAGCAACCAAUUGUCACUCUUUCAACCUGCAAUGCUAUUUGGUUACGAAACUUUCUAAAGGAGUUGAGUCUACCACAAGAGGAUCCAACGAAGAUCUUUGUGGACAACAAGUCAGGAAUAGAAUUGGGGAAGAAUCCAGUUUUCCGUCAUCGAAGCAAACAUCGAUAUCCAUUAUCACUACAUUAGAGAAUGUGUCACUGAUAAGUGUCAAAUAUAUUGGUUUUUAUAUCAAGUUCUAGCUAAGUUUUAUUAGUUUUUAUUAUGUAUUAUGGUUGUUCUGGAGUCUUUUUGUGUUAUAUAGCGUUUAUACAGGUCACAGGGGCUAAAGCCAAAAUUGGGAAAAAUUGGAAGACUUUUCUGCACCAUUUGAGAGUUUAAAUGUGUAAAUUCACAAUUGGUCGAUGGCUCUUCUCCGACGUACUCGAUCCGGUGCCCUCGACCCAGCCAUCGAUCCUCAAGUCCGAGCUGAGCAAAGUGAGCACUUGGAGAUGACGAGCCGCUCGAUCCAGAACCCUUGACACCCAGCUUGCAUCGCUCGACGUAACCCACGACUCCUCAAGCUCGUGACGAAGAAGAAGACGCACCGGGUCCGGUACGGCUCAACGGCGGAGCUCCGACGAGGCGACCACAGUUCAGACGAGACGGAGAGAUGGAGGCGUGGUGGUUGAAGGGACACGACAGCGCCAUUGACGAAGAUUGAAUCCGAGCUUGAAGAAGAUGAAGCAAACGUGUUUUAGUGCAAAACGAUGCGUCUCAAAAACGCAGUCUCAUAAAACAGCGUUUGCGUUUGGCGCUUGGCGUUUGGCAUUUGGCGUUUGACUUUUGACUUAUUUUCCUAAGACUAUAUAUAUGUGUAAAUGUUUAAACUCUAAUAGAGAUUUUGUCUUUUUGUCUAUCUUUGCAGACCUUUCUGAACACGUGUCUUAUUUAUCAAAAAUUAUAAGAAGACUUUUCUAGAUUAUUUCUCUAAAUCAUAUUUAUCCUUAAUGUUAACAUGUGCUUAAAAGUUCUCAUGAAGAUUAGUGAGUAGUCACUCGGUUGGGUCUAGGGUUUCUCACAAAAGAGAUUUUAUGAGUUGUUGACAUUAAGAUUGCUAGAUCUAGAGAGUUAUCUUUUGGUUCUUCAUCUAUUGGUGUUUUUAAUGUUGAAGCUUGAUUACCUAUCUAGUUUCAGAGCCCAUGUUAUUUCAGGUCUGACAGGUGUUCAAUGAAAUGCCCGAAACAAUUUUAGAUGAGCAAAGUGUCUUCCACGUUGAGUUUCAGAUUCUAUAACUUAGAGAGUUAGUGCUACGACAAUAGGUUGAUUAUGUUAUUGUGUUUGAGUUCACGGCGUUGCUUAACUUCUUUCUCUAGCCAAUUUAUCUGUCUAGCUAGUAAUUGCUUAUCUGUUUACAACAGUAGGUUAAAAUUGCUUAUAUAGCCUUAGCUAGUAAUUUAUCUAUAGCUUUUCGUGUGAACUUUGGUCCUUGUGGAUUCGAUCCCGAAUACUAUUACGUACUUUACUGUGCACUUGCAGUUAGUCUUUCGGGUUAAAACCUGAGUGAUCAGUCACCAAAAUGGAUGUGCAGAUGGAGUAUGUGAAGACAAAUGAUCAAGUUGCUGAUAUUUUCAUAAAGCCUCUCAGACGUGAAGAAUUUAACAAGAUGCAGAGUUUGCUCAGAGUAACAAAUCAAGUUUAAUAGGGGUGUUGAAAGCUAAACUUGUUUUGGAUCAUAGUUUUGGGCAACUAAUCAUUAUGUGUGGGUUAAAUCCAAAAUUUGAUCCAAAAUCUAUAAAGUGUCUAAAAAAAUAUCUAAAAUAAUAAGAAUAAAAUAAUAUUUUGGUCUUGGGUAGAAUUCUCUGGAAUAGAUUAAAAUAUUAGAGAUAUUUGUACUUAUGAAGCUAUAAAUACUUCCAUUUUCUUCUCAUUGUAAUCAUUCAAAAAACAGGAGAAAUCCUCUUUAGUAAUAAAAACAUCUUCUUCUUUUUUUAGUAAUAGUUAUAAAGAAGAAAUCUUUUUUCUUAUCAAAAGGAAGAGAAAGCUCUCCUCUUCAUAGAAAUAUAUAUAUAUAUNNNNNNNNNNNNNNNNNNNNNNNNNNNNNNNNNNNNNNNNNNNNNNNNNNNNNNNNNNNNNNNNNNNNNNNNNNNNNNNNNNNNNNNNNNNNNNNNNNNNNNNNNNNNNNNNNNNNNNNNNNNNNNNNNNNNNNNNNNNNNNNNNNNNNNNNNNNNNNNNNNNNNNNNNAUAUAUAUAUAUUCAAACACUUAAACACUUUCUCUAAUUUUAUUAAAUAAAUAUUUUCAUUCCAACAUUAAAUAUCUUUACUUCAUUAUUUAAUGCAUUAUUCUUUAUAUUUUACUAGGGGUUGGUUUAAAGUUAUUUUAUAUUAAAAUGUGUUUUAAUUUUAUAAAAAGUUUUAAAAAUUACUCAAAACUGAAUAUAAUAAAUAUAAUUUAUUUUCUAAUUAGUUCAUAUAUAUUUACUUUGUUAACAUUUGACAUUUCUUUAUAAUUCUUACAUGUUUGGAUUUUUUUAAUUAUCUACUAUAUUUUAUGAUAUUGUACUAUUUUAUUUUAAGUAUUAUUUCAGUUAUAUUUUAAUGGAAAUACGUUAUUUUUCGCAUUUGCAUGAGAUUAUAUGUGUAGUAUUUUAAAUUGUGUGUUAAAGUUUUAUGUUUAAUUGUGGUAUAUCUGAAUGUAUUAUAUCCGUGAUUAUAAGCGUCUCUAACAAUGUUCUUAUUCAAAAAUUUCCUUUAACCAAAUACUAAAAUUACAUUGUCUUUGGCUAAUCUACCAGUUUUAUCUUCUUGAGUUUUUUUUGUUUAUUGUUAAUCGAGAAAAAUAUUCUUCUUCUUCUUGUGGACUCUUAAUUAGGAAAAAAAUCCCAAUCUUGAUUUUCUAUAAAGUAACAUUUAAUUUUUAAUCUUAUGUAAGUUUCUAGUUUAAAUCUUAAAGCAAGAUUUCAUAUCAACGCAGUUAAUAAUAUACAUGAUCAACAAAAGGAUCAUUUUCUAAUGGAUUUCCCUGAAUGAAUUUUAAAUACAUAUAAUUUUACGUGCAGAUUCCUUUAUAGUUUUGCCAAUUAGAUUGUAGUUGCAAUUAUUCCGAUUAAAAUUUUGGUUCAAACAAAUACAUCUAGUAUGUGACAACACCAUGUUAUUGCAUUAGAAGAACAGCAAAGAACCGUCCAACCACAUAAAUUGAUUUGAAUAGAUUAUGAACUUUGUUUAAAAUUUUAUUUAGAAUUAUCAAACCCAGAAAGUAGUUUUUCAUUAAUUCAUAUUGAUACAAAUUUUUUAUUGUGUACAAUGAACGUGUUUAUAUUUAACCAGAAUGAAAAGAGACAUGGACGUUUGUAACUCUUGAAAACAACAAUGAUGUAGAAAUGAGUAAUUUUAGAGAAAGUACUUUGAAACUACGAUUAAAGACAUCCAGGCCUGAAAGAUAAAACUCUGUUACUUAAUUACAUGUCUCUGAUACCGACUUUAGUUUGCAACAUAUGAAAACUGAUUUAUCAAAAAAGAACAUACGAAAAGUGAUGUAGCAAAUCAGUUGAUCGCAUUUUAAGAUUAUUUAUGAGAGCUUUUAUUCUUUGUUAUGUGUCAAGCUAUAAAAUUCUGAAAUUUUAAAAGUGAAACCAUUUGUUUUGAAAGAGAAACAAACGUGCAUAAGAAAUAAAUGAACCCGGAUCACACAUUGUUAUGAUGAGUAAGACUUCUAAUCAUUGCUAGAUUUAGAAAAUAAGAUGAUAUAGCUAGAGGAAGAAUAAAUACACAAACCCUUUCAUUUCUCUUUUCUUUUCAUGUAAAAAAAUAAAAAUCGUUCUCCAAUCUAUUCUACUUGGUCCCAAACAUCUGCCUAGUUUGUGGACAUCUCUCAUGUUUUUGAGUUCAUGACUUCAUGGUAGUUUAAUAAAAACGAAGAAGGAAAAUCGAGAUAAAGAAUCGAAGAAGGAUAGAGUGAGGUUCUGUCCUUUGAGUUUUGUCUCUUUAGCUUUCGAGUCUUAACCUCAAUGCUAGUUGCUAGUUGGGUCACCUAUUUGGGCUCAGCAGGGUCGAAUUUCCUCACACCGACGGUCAUAGAAGAAGACGGAGAGACUUCAUAAGCAACAGUUUGAGCCACCACUUGUUGUGGUUUUGGGUUUAAUGGAGCUCGAAGACUGAAUCUUUGUGCGUUGGUCAUUCGAGGAGGAUGAUGAUAAUGGAACUAAUGUGCUGAGCAAUCAAGACCCAAGAGGUUAAGGCGCAACAAGCAAGUCAGCGAGUGAAGAAUAAGAGCUCAUGGAGUGGUCAAAUUUGCAAGCUGGCACAAACUUGCAAAUCCCAUGUUGAGCAUAGUAGCUGCAUUGCGCUGUGCCCUGCAAAUGAUAUUAUUACUAGUAUUCACUUUGUUAUAACAUGCAUUAUUGUAUACAGAAAGAAUAAUUAUUUUCAAAAAAUCUUUGUCAGAGAUCAUGAGAGAACUACCAACAUAGGUAGUUGUUUUCGAUGGAAAGAGAGAGAAAAAAAGAACUUCAUUAUUGAAUCAAAGAGUUCUAGCUAGUUAAAUUGUCAAAAAUACCAGUUCCAAAGUACCAUUUUUCAUGUUUAUACUAACCACUAUUACUCUCAUUCUUAAUGAAGUGUAAAAUACAUUUACAGCCAUUUGAUUAACUUUGACAAAAAAAAUCUAUGGUUAACUAAUUUAAACUUAAAACAUCAACUCUAAACCCUAAAUCAUCAACUUAAAACUCUAAACCCUAAACCCUGAAACAUCAACUCUAAACCCUAAACCCCGAAACAUCAACUCUAAACCCUAAACCCUAAACCCUAAACCUUCAAAUCUAAACCCUAAAACAUCAACUCCAAACUCUAAACCCCGAAUUAUCAACUCUAAACCCUAAACCUUCAAAUCUAAACCCUAAAACAUCAACUCUAAACCCUAAAAGUAAACCUUAAACCCUAAACCCUAUAUUUUCCGAAAUUCGAACCCUAAACUCUAGGAUUUUAGGGUUU
This 24920-nucleotide long non-coding RNA is filed under the name Brassica napus (rape). Its description in RNAcentral is "long non-coding RNA (BNAP_LNC012037)". The record is from RNAcentral. Lineage: Eukaryota; Viridiplantae; Streptophyta; Magnoliopsida; Brassicales; Brassicaceae.